This 87-nucleotide transfer RNA is filed under the name Trueperaceae bacterium. RNAcentral's name for it is "tRNA-Leu". It matches the Rfam family "tRNA". Rfam says of the family: Transfer RNA (tRNA) molecules are approximately 80 nucleotides in length. Their secondary structure includes four short double-helical elements and three loops (D, anti-codon, and T loops). RNAcentral also lists the same sequence under 2 other names. Lineage: Bacteria; Thermotogati; Deinococcota; Deinococci; Trueperales; Trueperaceae. The record is from RNAcentral.
GCCGAGGUGGCGGAAUCGGUAGACGCGCCAGCUUGAGGGGCUGGUGGCCGCAAGGCUGUAGGGGUUCAAGUCCCCUCCUCGGCACCA